Triticum aestivum (bread wheat) is the source of this 118-nucleotide non-coding RNA. NCBI's taxonomy places the organism in Eukaryota, Viridiplantae, Streptophyta, Magnoliopsida, Poales, Poaceae. The record is from Rfam.
UGGUGGCAUUCAAAGGACAACAUGUCUACCUGAUACAAUCUUCCUAAAGUAAAAUUUUCAUUUCCUGCUUGUGGUAUCGUUAGGAAGUUCUGCAAGUCUCAAAUGAGAAAACAUCCAU